Molecule: long non-coding RNA, 263 nt
Filed under: Elaeis guineensis (African oil palm)
Lineage: Eukaryota; Viridiplantae; Streptophyta; Magnoliopsida; Arecales; Arecaceae
Description: long non-coding RNA (EGUI_LNC053268)
Source: RNAcentral
GGUGGUUGGCGCGGAGCAAUUCGACCUACUGGUGCAGCAGGUCAGAGGCCUCACUGAAGCUGUGCAGGCCAUGCAAUAGCAGCAACAGCCGCAGGCAUCAGUGCGACAGGGAAGAGCAUCAUCGGAACUCCAAAAUCCGAUGGUGGGACAGGCCACUUGGGCCAGCCACCCCGUCUUUCCCGGAAAGAUGAAUCCAAGGGUGGAGAGCCCUCAAUCAGACCACGAUUCCACCCCUGGAAGAUCUCUACCUCUAUUCUGCCAGA